RNAcentral lists this ribosomal RNA (714 nucleotides) under Triticum aestivum (bread wheat). Its description in RNAcentral is "partial small subunit ribosomal RNA". Lineage: Eukaryota; Viridiplantae; Streptophyta; Magnoliopsida; Poales; Poaceae. The record is from RNAcentral.
AUGCUUGAGGAGGCAAUUCUGCAUUCAAUGCUGAAAUGUGGCACCGACAUUUCUCAAGCCGAACGUCAUGAUCAGGUAGUAGAAGGCUUCGAAUGGUGUGAUGAAGGCGGUCUUCAGCCGAUCGGCCAGGUUCAGCUUGAUCUGGUGGUAGCCGGAGUAGGCAUCAAGGAAGGACAGCAACUCGCAUCCGGUUGUGGAGUCAAUCACUUGAUCUAUCUAAGGCAGAGCAAACGGAUCUUUGGGGAAGGCUUUGUUGAGGCUGGUGUAGUCAAUACACAUGCGCCACUUAUUGUUCUUCUUCAACACAAUGACUGGAUUGGCAAGCCAGUCCGGGUAGAACACUUCCAUGAUGAAGCUGGCUGCAGCAGCCGGGCUAUCUCUUCACCAACAAUCCUUCUCUUCUCUUCUGACAGGCGGCGGAGGGGUUGCUUGACCGGCUUCGCAUCCGGCCUGACAUGUAGCUUGUGCUCGGCGAAAUCCGUCGGAACACCGGGCAUGUCAUUUGGAGACCAUGCAAAGAUGUCCCGAUUCUCACAGAGGAAAUCGACGAGCUUGCUUUCCUAUUUGCUGUCAAGGUUGGCCCCUAUGACAGCGUGCCUCUCCGGGUGCUCCAGGUCCAAGGGUAUCUUCUUGGUUUCUUUGGCCGGCUGGAAGGAGGCUUGUGCUUCCGACUCUUGGGGUCAGGGGACAUGUCCGGUUGUUUGCUGGCCAUAG